AGAAUUGUAGUGAGAAGCUUUAUCGGUGACGCACUGGAUCAUCUGUCUCCAUUGAUUAAACAAAAUGCAGAAAA
RNAcentral lists this transfer RNA (74 nucleotides) under Bacillus subtilis subsp. subtilis str. BSP1. Its description in RNAcentral is "tRNA-Gly". The record is from RNAcentral. Lineage: Bacteria; Bacillati; Bacillota; Bacilli; Caryophanales; Bacillaceae.